Molecule: small RNA, 67 nt
Filed under: Streptococcus iniae
Lineage: Bacteria; Bacillati; Bacillota; Bacilli; Lactobacillales; Streptococcaceae
Description: Streptococcus sRNA Spd-sr37
Rfam family: Streptococcus sRNA Spd-sr37
Source: Rfam by way of RNAcentral
CAAUAACGAUGAUGGUCAAAGCUCAUGGAAAUUGUAGGUCUUUUUGACUUGCAAUUUUCGAGAGUUU